Molecule: unclassified non-coding RNA, 311 nt
Filed under: Hevea brasiliensis (rubber tree)
Lineage: Eukaryota; Viridiplantae; Streptophyta; Magnoliopsida; Malpighiales; Euphorbiaceae
Source: RNAcentral
GCUAGAAAGAUUGAAUUAAAAACCCGACCAGAUACACCCGACAUCAGCAACCUACAGAAGUGUGCAGAUUUUGCACAUGCUUUCAUGUUAGGUUUUGAUGUUAUAGAUGCUAUUGCUCUUUUGCGAUUGGAUGAGCUAUAUGUGGAAUCUUUUGAAAUCAAAGAUGUUAAAACUCUUAGAGGUGAGCACUUGUCUCGUGCCAUUGGAAGAUUGUCAGGUAAAGGUGGCAAAACAAAGUUUGCCAUUGAGAAUGCCACAAAAACAAGGAUUGUGAUUGCUGAUACCAAGAUUCACAUAUUAGGAUCUUUUCA